GAUGAACGCUGGCGGCGUGCCUAAUACAUGCAAGUCGAGCGAACAGACGAGGAGCUUGCUCCUUCGACGUUAGCGGCGGACGGGUGAGUAACACGUAGGUAACCUACCUAUAAGACUGGGAUAACUUCGGGAAACCGGAGCUAAUACCGGAUAAUAUUUCGAACCGCAUGGUUCGAUAGUGAAAGAUGGCUUUGCUAUCACUUAUAGAUGGACCUGCGCCGUAUUAGCUAGUUGGUAAGGUAACGGCUUACCAAGGCAACGAUACGUUGCCGACCUGAGAGGGUGAUCGGCCACACUGGAACUGAGACACGGUCCAGACUCCUACGGGAGGCAGCAGUAGGGAAUCUUCCGCAAUGGGCGAAAGCCUGACGGAGCAACGCCGCGUGAGUGAUGAAGGUCUUCGGAUCGUAAAACUCUGUUAUUAGGGAAGAACAAACGUGUAAGUAACUGUGCACGUCUUGACGGUACCUAAUCAGAAAGCCACGGCUAACUACGUG
RNAcentral lists this ribosomal RNA (497 nucleotides) under uncultured bacterium. Its description in RNAcentral is "partial 16S ribosomal RNA". It matches the Rfam family "Bacterial small subunit ribosomal RNA", at positions 28 to 507 of the family's 1533-position model. The record is from RNAcentral.